This 228-nucleotide ribosomal RNA is filed under the name uncultured bacterium. RNAcentral's name for it is "partial 16S ribosomal RNA". It matches the Rfam family "Bacterial small subunit ribosomal RNA", at positions 118 to 348 of the family's 1533-position model. The record is from RNAcentral.
UGAGCAACCUGCCCUUGACUCUGGAAUAACAAUUGGAAACAGCUGCUAAUACCGGAUACGACCUCCGACGGCAUCAUCUGGAGGUGGAAAGCUCCGACGGUCAAGGAUGGGCUCGCGGCCUAUCAGCUUGUUGGUGAGGUAACGGCUCACCAAGGCUUCGACGGGUAGCCGGCCUGAGAGGGCGACCGGCCACACUGGGACUGAGAUGCGGCCCAGACUCCUAGGAGG